Molecule: ribosomal RNA, 482 nt
Filed under: uncultured bacterium
Lineage: Bacteria
Description: bacterial SSU rRNA
Rfam family: Bacterial small subunit ribosomal RNA
Source: RNAcentral
CGGCGGAUGGGUGAGUAACACGUGGGUAACCUACCUACAAGCUUGGGAUAACUCGUGGAAACGCGAACUAAUACCAAAUGCGAUCUUUUACCUCCUGGUAAAAGAUUAAAAGACGGUUUCGGCUGUCACUUGUAGACGGGCCCGUGGCGCAUUAGCUAGUUGGUGAGAUAAAAGCUUACCAAGGCAACGAUGCGUAGCCGACCUGAGAGGGUGAUCGGCCACACUGGGACUGAGACACGGCCCAGACUCCUACGGGAGGCAGCAGUAGGGAAUCUUCCGCAAUGGACGAAAGUCUGACGGAGCGACGCCGCGUGAAUGAUGAAGGUCUUCGGAUCGUAAAAUUCUGUUGUUAGGGAUGAACAAGUGUGAGCGUAACUACUCACACCUUGACAGUACUUAACCAGAAAGCCCCGGCUAACUACGUGCCAGCAGCCGCGGUAAUACGUAGGGGGCGAGCGUUGUCCGGAAUUAUUGGGCGUAAA